UCAGUGGAGGGUAGUGUUAUCUUGUGAAUGGAGUUGGGAAACCAUUAUAUGUCAAUGCUCUGACAAAGAAUUUGCAUAGUUCGCCUUGCGCCUGUGUGGAAGUUAGUGCUGACAAACCUCUAGUUGAUUGCCGACAAACCUCUAGUUGAUUGCCUUGAUCUUGACUUGGAGGAUGAGUUGCCUGCUGAAAUAUAAGUGGAGUAUCAUUGUCUCAAUUGUGAAGUCCAUGGACACAAUUAAGAUCAGUGCUCUAGCUUUGAGAACAGAGAAGGAAAGG
This 277-nucleotide long non-coding RNA is filed under the name Olea europaea (common olive). Its description in RNAcentral is "long non-coding RNA (OEUR_LNC001593)". Lineage: Eukaryota; Viridiplantae; Streptophyta; Magnoliopsida; Lamiales; Oleaceae. The record is from RNAcentral.